RNAcentral lists this transfer RNA (52 nucleotides) under Stenocercus quinarius. RNAcentral describes it as "partial tRNA-Cys". Lineage: Eukaryota; Metazoa; Chordata; Lepidosauria; Squamata; Tropiduridae. The record is from RNAcentral.
GUGUUAACACAUCAAAAUGCAAGUUUGAAGAUGAGCCCAGAAGGGCUCCGGG